Molecule: ribosomal RNA, 432 nt
Filed under: uncultured bacterium
Lineage: Bacteria
Description: partial 16S ribosomal RNA
Rfam family: Bacterial small subunit ribosomal RNA
Source: RNAcentral
AACGAACGCUGGCGGCAUGCCUAACACAUGCAAGUCGAACGAGACCUUCGGGUCUAGUGGCGCACGGGUGCGUAACGCGUGGGAACCUGCCUUUAGGUUCGGAAUAACUCAGAGAAAUUUGAGCUAAUACCGGAUGAUGUCUUCGGACCAAAGAUUUAUCGCCUUUAGAUGGGCCCGCGUUGGAUUAGCUAGUUGGUGGGGUAAAGGCCUACCAAGGCGACGAUCCAUAGCUGGUCUGAGAGGAUGAUCAGCCACACUGGGACUGAGACACGGCUCAGACUCCUACGGGAGGCAGCAGUGGGGAAUAUUGGACAAUGGGCGAAAGCCUGAUCCAGCAAUGCCGCGUGAGUGAUGAAGGCCUUAGGGUUGUAAAGCUCUUUUACCCGAGAUGAUAAUGACAGUAUCGGGAGAAUAAGCUCCGGCUAACUCCGU